Long non-coding RNA from Solenopsis invicta (red fire ant), 1380 nucleotides. RefSeq lists it as uncharacterized. The record is from RefSeq and is a predicted model, not a curated record. The transcript has 3 exons. NCBI's taxonomy places the organism in Eukaryota, Metazoa, Arthropoda, Insecta, Hymenoptera, Formicidae.
GGUGAUGAGGAUGAGGGUGACGGGUGAAGAUGAGAAUGAGGAUGAAGGUGGUGGGCGAGCGAGGACGACACCAAGGUUGAUGGACGCGCUCGCGGAGCUAGCGGUGUAAACAGUUAUGGCAGCCGUACGAACACUACGAACUUCUCGCUGAAGGUGAACGAGGAGGGGAUGCUGCGAAGAAUUCUCAUCGCGCUGCACGCCCGACUCUGCCAAUAGGAGAGCUGACCUCCUAGAGACAUUUCUAGAUACGCCGUAGAAAACUCUCGAAAGGCUGCGCUCGUGUUUCAACUCGUGUUUCUCCUCUAGCUCGUUUCGACUCCGCGAUCAUCGGAGGUUGGAAUUUCGCAGAAUUUCGAUGAGAGAUUUGAACGCGAGGAUGGCGACAGAUGACGGAGCUAGAGGAACGACGAUGUCGCGAGGAUGAUUAUGACCGUACUCCGAUUAAGUAGUUGAGUAAUAUAUGUAUUGAAUUAGACAGAAUUAUUGAUCAUUUGUUGAUUAACAUGAAUGCAACAGCUCGAGGAUUGAAAUGAAAUGUCCUGCCAAAAAAAACUCGAUAAAAUUGUAUAAGAAAGAAAAACAUCCUUAAAAUUCUAUCAUUAUUGGAUGGACAGAGGACGAAUGGAUGGCAACGAACAGAUGUGAACUCGGUCGAUCUCGAUUUUGAUUUUAUUUCCUUCCUCACACGUAAUGUGCAACACGUUCCGUAGCCCUCGCCAACGGCGAUCGGCGCGCACGAUCGUAAUUGCUACAGCUCUUUUCUCUCUCUUUUUUUUUUCUUUUUUUCCGCGCUUACAGUACGUACACGUGCAUCGUAUGCACCUUUAGACGGGUCGCAUUCACGGGCGAACUCGCGUUCGCUGCGCUAUAUUUACAACGCCAGUCGUUCAUGCGAGCCGCAUAUUUUCAAAACCCGCCGGAUUUUCCUUCGGAAUCCGCGUACGAGAUUCGAGGGCCCGACCGGCAGUCAGCACUCCGAUCGAGGAUCCGAUUAACUUGAGCGGCCAUCAAUUUAAUGCUAAUAAGAACAAAAUAUUAGUUCUUUGUUUUAUGAAAAGAAGAAAUCAGAUUAGAGACAAAAUGGAUUGCGCAGCUAGAAAUUUUGCUUCGUACAAAUGAAUUCGGCUGCCGGUUGAGCUAAUCGCCGAUUAAAUUAAUCGGAGUUUGAUUGAAGUCGCCCUAGAAGUCGGUUCUUCGAGCGUAGAUCGUUCUAAGGCUAUAAUUGAUAUAUUGACUGUAAACUCCUCCGAUUCUCUUUUUGUAGAAACUUCUCUGCAGAAGCUCCGUUAAAGAAUCGCUUUUUCGGCGAAAAUUUUCUACUGAUAGUCAACGCAAAGUAAAAAAAAAAAAAAAAAAAAAAUAACGAUUAUUAAUCACUCA